This 321-nucleotide ribosomal RNA is filed under the name uncultured Veillonellaceae bacterium. Its description in RNAcentral is "partial 16S ribosomal RNA". Lineage: Bacteria; Bacillati; Bacillota; Negativicutes; Veillonellales; Veillonellaceae. The record is from RNAcentral.
GGAGUAUGGACCGUGUCUCAGUUCCAUUGUGGCCGUUCAUCCUCUCAGACCGGCUACCGAUCGUCGGCUUGGUGCACCUUUACUACACCAACUACCUAAUCGGACGCAGGCUCCUCGCAAAGCGAUAAAUCUUUAGUAACAAAGUCAUGCGACUCCACUACAACAUCCGGUAUUAGCGUCCCUUUCGGGACGUUGUCCCCGACUUUGCGGCAGAUUACCUGCGCUUUACUCACCCGUUCGCCACUAGCACCGAAGUGCCCGUUCGACUUGCAUGUGUUAAGCACGCCGCCAGCGUCGUCUCGAGCCACGGAGUCAACUACU